GAGGCAGAAUGAACUAUUGGCACGUACUACAACAUAGGUAUCUCCCAAAAUAACUAUGCCAAAUGAAAGAAGCCAGACAAAAAAGAGUGCAGGGUUUAUGAUUCCAUGCACAGAAAAUUCCAGAACUCCAUAGUGACAGAAAACAGAUCAAUGGCUGCCACGGGAUCAGGGCACCGCUAGGAAGGCACAUGAGAAGUCAAAUCGAGUCCAGACAAUAGAGAUGUCCGACUGUGUUUCCCAGCCCUGAGGCGGAGUGCCAUUCACAAACGUGGCUACCCUGGCAUCUCGAGGUCACGGUCUUCCAUGGCUCGACUUGCCUUUGUCCCCUCCAUGUGAAUCUGGGGGCCUGAGACCGUCAACCGAAUAUAGUGGAAGUCAAGCUGCAGGAAGUCCGAGGCCAGGUCCUAACGGGCCCCCUGGCUUCCCCUGGUUCUCCGGAGACUCCUGCUCUGGGGGAAGCCAACCCUGAGCAAGAAGUGUGACCCCUGCGACCGUCGUGCUGGAGAGGCCACGUGUGGGCCGGUGAGUGACCAUCUGGUGCUCACAUUCACGUCUCAAACUCCAAGCCCAGGGCUCCGGUCUCAGGGUAUCUCGUGCCCGCUGGGCCGCGUGUCAGCCCCUGCUCAGUUCUGUCCCCUCUUAAUGGGUCCACGACAAUCUCAACCAUCUAGGCUGCUGUUUCCAAUUCAAGUUGUCAAUCUUCCAAAAGCAAAUCUACUUAUUAGAAUAGUGUGAUCGGGCCUGUAUGUAUGAGUGUUCAAUGCCAGUUCAAGCAACCUGCUUUCAAUCUGGCGGACAAAUCCCACCUGUGUGCCGUAUGACCACGACUUUGUCUUUACGGCAUUACCCCAAGCAGCGAGUCUUUAAAAAAGUUCUAGAAAGAGCGCAACAGGCUCACCCACGUGUAUUUCCUUUCAGUUUCAACCUGUGCAGUCUGAACAGCCCCUCCCUCUUCUGCAGGUACAGCUCUGUCCCCUGGCCUUGGUGACCAGGCCCCCCCUCCAUCGUUAGCCUGGGGACGCAUCUCCCUUGCUGGUUUCCUUUGUUAAACACUUCUCAGUGACCCUGUUUGACUGCAUCACCUACCUCUUCCUGCAACCCUGCCAGGCACCAAGGGAUUGCCACAGUUCUCCUUAAUUAUUCUACAUGCUGAACAAAGGUAUAUUUCAACACAGUAGAGGCGUAAAUGGACAGACAGGAAAGAUAAAACAUCUCUGCACUGGAGAGGAAGAGAAGAGAGGGAAACCUCGUACAUCCAAACAAGGCCGUCAACCGCGUCUGCGCCCAAGGUCCUGACUUGGCCCCCUUCCUGCAUUUGCUAUCUGGUCCUUGUUGGAGACACGACCGUCUACCCAACCAGCCAGGUCAGAAGUAUGGCAGUCAUCGAAGGUUCCUCCCUUUCCUGGUCGUCACCCACAAAUAACCACCCAGCAGGGUCCCUAAAUCCUGCCUACCAAGUGUGUGUCGCCUCCUACGUACCCACCCCAAGUUCACCAUUGCUAGAGCCUCCUAACUGGUCCUCAACUGCCAUCUGGCACCAGCGUUCACCCCACACUCUGUCAAGUGCCCGUGGUGAUCCUUCUGGGUGAAAAAAAUCGAUGCUGCUACUCAUCUCUGAAAUAAGCUUUAAUGGCUCUGUCUUAGUUUGGGUUUUCUGAAAGCAGAGCCUGAGACAAGGACUUGGUACGGGUGGUUUGUUUGGAGGAUGGGGCCAGGAAGCAGGAGGGAGCGGGGGAGUGAGACGAGGGAAGAGGAAACUCAGCAGAGCGCACUCAGGAACGGUCACUGUCGGGGCCACUCCGAAUUGUCUGGGGGGGCUGGCAUCCAACCACUCACCCCUGCCCCACUGGCUGAGGGUUAACCCUGGGACUUUAACUGCCCUGCACUUCCGGGCAGCUGGGGGGCCUUCCCUGGGCUGGAGAUAGCAAAGUGGAGAGAUGCGGGAUGCUGGGGAGUGCCAGGAACUGCCCAUGACAAGGGUGCUGAAAGCAGGCGGCUGAAAGGGUGGCUCGCAGGCGUCACAAGCAUCUGCGGCCACCUCCACCUCACGGCCAGGAUGGAGCCCUUCGUGACUCACCUCUUUUGUCUACCCUGCUUAUGUCCUGAUGUCCAUCUCCCGUGUUCAAGGCCACCAUUAGCCCACGUAAUGCUUGUGCCUGUCAGAAAGUCACCUCUUCUAGGCAGCUUUGUAUGUGUGCAUCCUGAUAAGCUUGGGUAGGCUGGAAUCCACCCCACUGGCCUCUUGAGCUUGGCAUCCUUGUAUAGGACACAGCCUGAACAACUGGAUGGGGGUAGCCCUGAACAUUAAUCUCAGUCCAAGGAACCGCACAGCAGUCCCUGAAUACACCAAACGGUUCACAUUUCUACGACUCUCUGUACUGUUCUUUGUGCUUAGAGCUUAUUUGUCAAAUAGUCACUGAGCAUGUACUACGGGCCAGUCACUCCUGGAAGUGCUGGGAAUACAGCAUAGCACAAAGCACACGUGAAAAUGCCAGCCCACGUAGAACUCACGCUGGAAGCGGGAACAGACCUCCAAAGAAAUAAGUGAGGAGGCAUAUAGUAUGCUGGAUGGCAUU
Molecule: long non-coding RNA, 2576 nt
Organism: Felis catus (domestic cat)
Lineage: Eukaryota; Metazoa; Chordata; Mammalia; Carnivora; Felidae
Exons: 3
Source: RefSeq, a predicted model, not a curated record